RNAcentral lists this long non-coding RNA (14669 nucleotides) under Podarcis lilfordi (Lilford's wall lizard). Lineage: Eukaryota; Metazoa; Chordata; Lepidosauria; Squamata; Lacertidae. The record is from RNAcentral.
CCGUUCUGUUGAACAUCCAACUAUCCUGGCAUCUCCUGGUAGGACAGGGCAUGUCUCCUGUCUGAAAACUUGAGAGCCGUUGGUUCACAUGUCAUGGUAAGCCAAACUAUGACUCAGCAUGAACAAGCAAGAGUGGUGGUGCAGAACUGCUAUGUUAUUCCGCUGCUUCUGGGCUACAAGAAACUAAGCAAUGGUUUCAUUUUGGGGGUUUGUCGCAUUCCAAACAAUAAGCUGUAAUCAAGGUUAGUUAUUGGCUUAUCACUUAUGGUUUGUUUGGGAGAAGACAAACCAUGAUCCUGGGUUGAAUCUAACACUACUGGUCUUGUCUGUUCAAUCCGCAGCAGUCUAUCUUUGCAUGCAGGGGAAAUCCGUAACUCACCAAGGGUUUGAGAUACAUCAGCUAAAAGCCGUCUCCAAGGGUGUGGCUUCUGUUGCAUACUGACAGCUUCUAGGAGCCACAGGGUGAGAGCUGAGUGCAGGAUGAGGACCAAAGGCAGACAAACUACCCCAGGCAUGACUUGUCCCCUGCCAGUGGUAAUACCUCUCCCCAGCACCCGACUUGUAGAUCAGGAACUGGUUAAGUAACAGAAAGUGGACAGUAGGAAUAUAUGGACAAUUCUCCCAGUGGAGGGAUGUAGAGAAUUGAGUCCUCUAUUAGGACCGGGCUUAUUAACAUUUUCACAAAUGAGUUCACACUCUAGCUCAUUCAUGAGCCAGUUAACAAGCACAGUCAGGGGAACAGUGAUGGCAGCCAAGUUGACAGAUGGUACUAAAUUGUACACCUCUGGUCACCUCAUGUCCUGAACUGGCAGGAGUAUGGGGAGGAGGAAGGGGCUUCCGGGAGGGUGUAGACAGCACUGGGGCACACCAGGGCAAGCAAGGGAUGGGGAAGGAGAUGUUGGUGUAGGAAGCACUUAAAGGGGGACCGAGGAGGACGAGGGGAUGGGGGUCGAUGCGCAGGAGCAGGAGCAAUAGGACCCAUCCGCAGAGCCAGAGGGGCCCCUGUCUCCAGAUAUAUGCAGGCUCUGAUGCACAGGGAACAGCGGGUGGAGCGCUCCCAGAGGCAGAGACAGGCAAGGGCCCACAGCCCAGCUUACUGUUGAGAAUUUCCAUUUCACCUUAAGGAGCAGACAUGUGGAACUGUUACGUGUCAUAUGUCUGUUUACAUUCCAGCACAGCUUGCUGGGAACUUCUGCUGUGUGUAUAGUUUUUGCUUUUCCCGGUCUUUCUGAGAAGACAAAGAGAGAGAGAGAGAGAGAGGACAUGUUUCUUUGUCUUGAUUUAUGAUUAAUAAAUCUGUAGUUGUAGUAUGCUUUCCACAAGCCUCACACCUAUUCUGUGUGUGCAGUUCAAUCUGCUGAUAGUGUGCCCUGGCUUUGAAGCCCGGGUUGCUGAUUUACGUCAGAGCAGAGGCUGAUGGGUCUUCGCAGCGGGACAGCUGGAAGGAGACGGCCCAGCUGGGGCUAGCCAGCUGGCCUCCCGGCCCUCUGCAUGUCGACACUUACCAGUGAGCCAGGUGGGGCUCACUAGCUCUGGGAGGAGGUAAGUGAUUCUCCAGUUGGAGUAGGCCGGGAGCAGGUGAGGGUCACAUGGCUCCUCAAGCCCAGAUGCUGAAAUCAGCAGGCAUAGUAUAAAAGGGCAGCAAAGCUGAGGUGCUGUCCCUGCUCAACUGCACCUUGACUUGGGUGCUCCUGGACCUCCCCGGGACUGUAUUUUGGGCUUGACGCUGGACUGUAUCCUGACUUCAGACUUGGAUUGGCCCUGAACCUUGUUUCCUGACCUUCAGCCUUUGGAUUUCGGACUUUGCCGGUGCUGAUCAACCCUUGGCUUUUGAACUUGUGUUUGGCACACUUGAGUGGCUGACGGGUAGGCCAGGGGAUCAGGACACCAAACCUCAAAAAGGAUAGAGUUGGGAAAGGUUUCUAAAAAGGCAACCAAAAUGAUGAAGAGGAUGGAGCGGCUCCCUAUGAGGAUAGGGUACAAAAUUCGGGCUUUUUGGUUUAGAGAAAAGGCAAGUCAGAGUUGAUAUGAUAGAAGUGUGUAAAACUAUAUGAGACAUGGAGAAAGUGAAUGGACACAGGUUUUUCUUCCCUCAUAGUGCUAGAACUCAUGGGCAUCUCAUGAAGCCAACUGUUGGAUGGUUCAGUGCAGACAAUAGAAAAUACUUCUUCACAUAGUGCAUAAACUGAGGAACUUGCUCUUGCAGGAGGAUGUGAGGGUCCCCAACUUUAAAAGAGGACUAGACUGUCAGGCCGAAUGCUUCUGGAUAGUAGUUGCUGGAAACUGUGAUAAGGGAGCUUGUAGGCUUCCUCUAAGUCUCUGGUUGGCCACUGUGAGAAUAGGAUGCCGGGUUGCUCCAGCAGAUUCUUCUUAAGCCUCUUAUAAUGGGGAGAGUGGAGUGCCUGGGCUAAUAGCUUAUUUUCAUUUUGGACUUGCCCAUGCAAAUGAAAGGAGAGGAUACAGGUCAGUGACCUUGCGCGCAUUAGCUUGCAUGCAAAAGGUCUCGGGUUCAAUGCCUGUCGUCUUCACUUAGGGCUGAGAAAGACUCCUGUCCAAGCUGGAGAGCAGCUGCCAGAUAGUGUAGACACUAUUAAGCUAGCUAGAUCACUUGUGUAUGGCAGAUUCCUAUACUCCUGUUACCAAAUCAAACAUCCCUUUUAUUGGAGCAGCAGCAGUAUGUCUUAAUUGGGUCUUUAGGCAGGAAUUGUGUUUCCCGUGGGUGCAGCAGUGUUACACUGGUGGUUCCUUGGAAACGCAUGAGGUGUAAUUGGCAGGUGUGUCUCCAAGUGUGAGAGCCCCGGUUACCAUUUUAUUUCCCCCAAAUAACAAUUCUUGCCCUGAGCAGCUUACAAUACACAUUUCAACAUGGGGUGGAGGAGGAAAGGAAAUGACAAGGACAACAAGGGAUGGAUGUGAGAAAAGGACACAUCCCAUAUUGAUAACUGCUCUUUUCCAGCUGUUCUGUAUCAUUUAUUUUUCUAUCCUGCAGGAUGGCUGAGACUUAGAGUCAGCCUCUGUGGAUCAGAGUGCACUCCGUCGUUUAAACUUCCAGCAGCAAGUGCCACAACUGAAGGCAUCACAACUUGUUGCCUCAUCAUUUUCCAAUGAAGCUAUUUGUUUCAAAAAGGAAGCGACUCAAAGCUGCGUGACCCUAUAGGACAGGGGUGCGGAAGAUCCUUCUUACAGCCCACAUGCUGGUGACGGGAAGGGCAAACAGACCAGGGUGACGAUUUCCUCUGUACAGUAAUCUCUGCUGCACCCACACAAAAGUCUUGAGGUUUCUACACCCACACACUUGCAAACAACACUUCUCCAUUCAGGCAAGCGAGAGAUGUGAUCACUGUUCUUCAAAGACUCCAGCCAGCCAAAAACAACUGAGAGAGCAGGAGCAAGGACUGGUUAGAGGGGCCUGGAGGAUGACAUUCAGGCCUCAGGGCUGAGGUUCUUCACCCCUGCACUAUAUUCGGUCUGAGCAUAGCCAAAAGGUUUUGGGCAGUAUUCAACUAAUUCCUCCUCCAAGCACAAGGAUUGCCACGAAUGUAGUGGAAUGCCCUGCAUGCUCUGUACCUUCCAGGGGUAUCAGGGGAAGCCCUAGAACAGUUUUAAGGGGUGCGCCGGGGAAAAAGAGGGGGGAGUCCCAUUGCACUAGCCGUAAUCCUUGCACUGAUGGGACCCCGACGUGGUGCUACGUUGAAUGCAACCCUUUGAUUCUGAAGCCACCUGAACAAAAUGAAACAAGCCUACAGGGCAUGAAGGCAAUGCCCAUUCCCGAGUUUCAAUAAGCCUUGCACCUGGCAUUAAGAGAUACACUGUCCCCAAUACUGGAGGCUCAACUGGCCAAGUGGAGACCUUUCUGCCCUGGUCCCUUCUUUCCUCUUCUCAAUCUUCUACACUUUAGACUCUGAAGGCCAGCUCUACCAUUAGGAAGUGAAGUGGCAGCCCUAAGCGGCCAUUUUGGGGUUUCUUGAAAGGCUGGAAAGUGCUAGUUAUUUAAUGCAUUAUUAUUUAAUGCAUUGCUAUUGCAUUUUUAGCACAAGGAAAGGUGAAGGACACUUGUGAGACUUUCUGCUUCAAGUGUCAAAGUAACUUUAACCUGGAUUUUUCUUUAAAAUCUGCUUGUUUGUUUUUAGAAGCCUGUUGCCAGAUUAUCUCAAUGACUAGUUUACAGUAUUAAGCUCUAAUUUGGAAGCAGCCUUGGUCAUUGUUUUAAUUAUUUGUUUUCAAUUUUUGUUGUUGUUUUAUACCUCAUUAGCCACCCGAGCAACCUGUUUUGGAGGAGAAAAGCAGGAUGCAAACAAAUCCUAGUGUACCAUUUGCGAGCAUCCCAUAUUAUGUAUGAUGUGUGGAAACAAGGCUGUGGUUCCUCGAGCUUUCCAGAUGAACAGAUUAGAAUUUCUUCCAAGUAUGCCAAACUAAAUCUGUAUGCAGUAUUUUCAGAAGCCCAGUUGCUGGGUGAGGCCUUUGUGAUUUAUAAUAAUUGCAAAUAAUUGUAGCAUCGUGGCAUAGCUAUUUCCUAGAUGCUGACACCACUCCUCUCCCAGAGAUCCUGCUAGAGAGGAGAAAUCAGCAGUGUUGCUUUUGAACAAGAUGCUUCCUCUGUUUGCUGCAGUUCAGAGCCGGCAGUGAGGUGACCACCUUAAGCAGUAGAUGCUGACGUGUGGAGAGCCACAGCUAAAUGUGAAAUGGCAAGGGGAAAGUUGCUAGGUUAUAACCCAGAGAUGCACUGAAGGCCUUGAUAAAAUGGGAAAGUCAACACGGUGUUAUUGGGCCUUGUACGAUCACUUAAAAAAAGCAACAACAGGUGGAUCAGGGCCUCAGUAGCAUCAAAGUGUUAAAGUGCCCUCUCCCCACACUAUGACCUUGAGCCAACUCCCCCCCGCACUACAAUCACAACAUACAAGGCUAAUUUGAUACCAAUGACAUCAUGUCUAGUUUGGUCUUUUCAGGAGUGGCCCCCUCUAUGGAAUGCUCUCUGCAGGGAGGCUUGCUGGCACUGAUCUAUUUUUGGCACCAGGCAAAGUCGUUUCUCUUCUCCCAGGCAUUUAUCUGGUGCCCCGAAGACUGUGAUGGUUAGACCUAUGUUAGUGGAUGUAGGGACUGCUUAUAUCAGGCAUGUCCAAAAUCCAUUUCGGGGGCCUAAUCUGGCCCACCGGUUGGUUUAAUCCGGCCCCUGCACCAGUUUAUUUCCUGGUCGCCCCUCACAGCACUUCACUUCAUCACUUCAUCAAAUCUGGCCCUCUUUGAAAAAAGUUUGGACACCACUUGUUUAUAUGGUUUGGUUAUCUUCUAUUGUGCGUCCUUUUAAAUCACUGUGCUUUUAAAGGUUGCAUACUGUAUUUUUACUAUUAUUUGUAAGUCACCUUGAGACGCUUGUGACAAGAAACUACAAAGCCUCAUAAAUAAUAAACAUGGUGCUAAAUGUGUCAUUAGAAACUAGAAGCACUUCCGGACACAAGGCUUAAUAUUACAAAUGGGUCAUUCACGUAUUGCAAGUUGGCUCACCAAUUGCAUUGGCUCUUUUUUAAAAAUAAUUUAAAAAAAACGUUUUGGAUUUCAGUGCAUAGCUGUCAACGUUUUCCUUUUUUUAAGGGAAAUUCCCUUAUUCCAAAUAGGAUUCCUCACAAGAAAAGGGAAAAGCUGACAGCUAUGUUUCAGUGGCAUAGCAUGAGGGGGCACAGGGGCGCUUGCCCCGGAUGCAACAUUGUUAGGGGCACAAAAUUUCAACACUCUGGUGCCGCCUCAGUACAGCUGUGUGCUUCCGUCACUGAGCUCCAAUAAAAACAGCUUUUACAUGUGAAACAGGAAGUGGCCUCUCCAGACAACAGGACGACUCUUCUUUUCUUUUCUCUGUGUCUGCGAUCUGCUGGGUGAUGCGGACGCCAUUAGGCAAUUGAAUGCGCAUGUGUACUCCAUCCAUUUCCAUCCCUCCCACCUCGUCCACCCUCUGUGUGGCCCUGGGCACAGGCAACCCAGACUAUGCCACUGCUGGAAAGAGUAGAUCUGGACUGAAGGGGGUGGGGAUACAGGCUGUCAUUUUUAUGACAAUAUCCUUUCUUUUCUCUCUAGCAUUUGCAUUGGUUGAUGCAAAAAACAACAACCUGGCAUGUCUGAGCAGCAUCGAUCCCACAAUAAAUACAGUGGUACCUCGGGUUAAAUACUUAAUUCGUUCCAGAGGUCCGUUCUUAACCUGAAACUGUCCUUAACCUGAAGCACCACUUUAGCUAAUGGGGCCUCCCGCUCCUGCUGCGCCGCCGGAAUACGAUUUCUGUUCUCAUCCUGAAGCAAAGUUCUUAACCCGAAGUACUAUUUCUAGGUUAGCGGAGUCUGUAACCUGAAGCGUAUGUAACCUGAGGUACCACUUUACUGCCUGGAAUUGUCCUAUGUUAAGUGGUGGUAUUUUAAAGCCAGUUGGGGUGGGGUUAAUCAGGACAGCAGCAUGCACAGAUACAAGAUUUGAUUCUUGCUUUCCCAGUUGUGCCCACCAAUAAUUGCCCCAUGCACUGGUAUUUGCCUAAGAAAUAAAUAUCCCAUUGCUGCCCAUGGGAGCUUUGCUCCCUAAGGCUGACAGCAGCACAUGGGAAAUUUUAAUCAGGAUUGAGGCAGAGAAUGGAAUGGUUAAAUCUCCCCACUCUUGUGGUCCCAAUGAAAAUUCCUCCCCCCAUCUCCAAUGCCUAUUAUUACAUUUUAAAAACCUAAUUUAGUUUCUAAUGAUCCAUUUAGCAUCGCAUGUAGUUCGGCUCUCUGAGUGCGCACACACUAAUGGCUUAAAAUGCAGCAAGGUUGUUUUCCACCGCAGCGUUUCAAGCCACAUUUGCACAGUGUUGUGCACAUCAGUGAGGGAGCAGGGAUGUACUCGCCCGAUGUGCAUGAUCUUUCUUGUUUCCCUGCCCCUGCAACUUCCCUAGAAUUCCAAUUAACAAAGCUUUUGUCUGUGCAUGCACACCCAUCUGCACAUGUGCAGUGACUGUCUCAAAUAUAUGCACCAGGCUUAAGCACAAAGUGAAUGCAGCUUAGGUUUUCUAGCUGGAUUUAAGCUGGUUUGAGGGAGGCAGAAAAUGCAUAAAACCGUGGUAUUUGUACAGGACUGAUACAGAUUGUGGCUAAUGUCACAGGCACACAGCCAUGGGAGCACCCUGCAAGCAGAGUAAGCUGAAGCCAGGCAAAACCUGAAGGGAAGCCCUGAUGACAAAUGCCUUUCAAAAUGUUAUUCAGAAAUCAGAUAUGCACUAUCCAGUCCCCAUCAGCAAACUACGUUGUGGUGUAUUCUGGUAUUAAAUCAGACCAUUCACAGACUGUCUUGGGCACCGUGCUGCUGAGAACGAAUCACUUGGGGCAGUGGCUCUGUGCCAGCAAGUGGAACAACCGAUGAUAUCACCUUCUCCAAAGUUCUGAAUGUGGGCCAAGACCCAGCACCUAGAAUGCUGCCAUUCCAACUUCCCACACCGGAGAUUAGCAAAGUCGAUGGCUGUUUACAGAGACCUAGAAGGAGUGUGGGCAACGCCAAGAUUUGCAAGAAGCCAUUCAUGAAAAUGUCAAGAGAUGGUUGUCAGCAUUCUGUAGUAAAAUGAAGCUGUCCAUGCUUCAUUUUUCAGUUGGAACUUGCUGGAACUCAGUUCCAGCACUUCUCAGAUGGGUGCCAUUGCCAUUACAAGUGAACAAGGGAAGUGUUUGUGGUGAGUUCUGGCACCUCUUUUUCUAGAAAAAUAGCACUGCUUGGAACCCUCAGAAUUUUCUGCUGUACAGUGGUACCUCGGGUUAGGUACUUACUUCGUUCCAGAGGUCCGUUCUUAACCUGAAACUGUUCUUAACCUGAAGCACCACUUUAGCUAAUGGGGCCUCUUGCUGCUGCUGCGCUGCUGGAGCACGAUUUCUGUUCUUAUCCUGCAGCAAAGUUCUUAACCUGAAGCACUAUUUCUAGGUUAGUGGAGUCUGUAACCUGAAGCGUAUGUAACCUGAAGUGUAUGUAACCCAAGGUACCACUGUACUACAAUAAUAAGGCAAAUGUUUAUGAGAUUCCCAGGAUAAUGAUUAUUUAGUGGACCCUCAGGCCAUGAUGACAUUAUUUUAUUAGGGAACAGAGACUGAACUCAAGGCCUCUCCUCCUAAGACUGGGAUGGGGGGAUCUGUGAUCAUCUGGAUGACCUUGGACUAUGGCUCCCAACACCUCUGACUGCUGGCCAUGCUGCCUGGGGCUAAUGGGAGUUGUAGUCCAAUGUUAUCUGUAUGGACACAGAUGCCCAUUGCUGUCUUAGAAAAUGUUGUGAAAGUUUGACAGGUCAGUCCCAAUGUGCGGUACGAUCACAGAAAUGCCUAGAAUGGGACACCAGUGCCCCCAGAAUUAAAAUGUUGUGUUAGCUGGACUUGAACAGUGUUGUGUUCAGAGGGAUUAUUGGAAGUAUGAAUCCGGAUGUACGUUUAGCUUAAUGAAUUAAGGCUGCAAUCCUGUGUACACUUAUCUGAAACUAAGUCCCACUGAACGCAAAGGGACUUAGACCUACUUCUGAGUAGAUAUGUAUAGGAUUGCAGUGUAAGGGUUUUUAAGUUUUGUAAUUGCUGGCUUUUAAAUACUGUGACCUUUGAUCUUUUUACCAGUGGAACUUCAAAUCCUUUUUAGCAUUGUUAAUUAUCGUUGCAUAUUGAUUUGUUGUAAGCUGCUUUGGGAGCCUUGUCUGUACUGUAAUACUGAGAUCCGCUAGCAUGUGAACAAAUAACAAACUGAAAAAUUGUGCCAAGGUUAAUAUUUUAAUAACUUAAAAUAACAUCAGCAAAUAAUUAACUCACUUGCGAUGAGUCCUGCUGACCCAUUUUGCCUCAAACUUAACAGGCCACUACCGUUCAGCAGAUAAGUAGAAACUAGAUUAGUCAUAAAGCAGUUUUGUCCAUGGGAGUUCCACAACAUGUGGGUGAGUUUUAGAUCUAAUCUGCAUGCAGAUGAACUACUUCAGUUCUUUUUCCUCAAGCUCUUUUCUCUCUCUCCUUUUUAAAAUAGAUUAGCAAGCUGGAACUUGUCCUUCAGCAGCUGUACAAUUAACUUGCAGUAAACACAGCUGAUAAUUGCUUAGUACUUGUAUCUUGGUACCUGCACACAAUUCAUUGCGUCCUGAAUGCUCAGUGUCAACUUUGAUUAAAAAAAAAACACCCUCAUUGAUAAUCAGCCAGAGACUUCCCUAUCAUAAUCAGUGAGUUUGAAUACACAUAUCUGCUGAGUCUGUUGAUGACCUUCUAAUUGUGGAUCAAUCCAUGUACUCAUAUGCUUACAGAUAUAUAUAUAUAUAUAUAUAUAUGUCUCAUCUUCUCAUCUUUAUAUUUUCUCUCACACCACCCCUGCGAGGCAGGUCACCAAGAGACAAGCUAUGUUACCCAAAACAUGGAGCAGCUGAUGAAAACAAGCCUCAUGUCAAGUUCCCCUCUUCUGUCCAACAGGAUGUUGUAAUUAAACUCAAGACAUACCAUUGCCAGAUGAUGUGCUCUCCUGCCUCCCCAACUCAAGUUGAUGACAUGAAGUGAUGCCAUGAUGGAGGGAUGCUAUGCAUUCAUUACUGAAAUACCCCAUCCUUCCCAACAUGCCCUCUUGGGUGUGAAGAUCAGCAGAGGGAGCCCUCUUAGUAGUUCUCCUGCCCUCAGAGGUUCAGGGUGCUGGCAGGGUGCUGGAGAUGGCAUUCUCUGUGGCAGCUCCUAGGCUGUGGAAUUCCCUCCUCACAAAGGUGAGUCUGUCAUUUUCAGUACAGUGGUACCUCGGGUUACAGAUGCUUCAGGUUACAGACACUUCAGGUUACAAACUCCGCUAACCCAGAAAUAGUACCUCGGGUUAAGAACUUUGCUUCAGGAUGAGAACAGAAAUCGCACAGUGGUGGCGCGGUGGCAGCGGGAGGCCCCAUCAGCUAAAGUGGUACCUCAGGUUAAGAACAGUUUCAGGUUAAGAACGGACCUCCAGAACGAAUUAUGUUCUUAACCUGAGGUACCACUGUAUAUAGUUGCCACUAUAUGCUGAAGACCCACCUCUUUAUCCAGGGCUUUUGAAACUCAAGACAUGUGUUUUCAGUGCCUGCUCCAUUCCUGUGACGGCAAUUUGUUUUACACUGUUUUUAACACUGAAUUUUAACUUCUUGUAACCCGCCUGAUGGGGGAAGGGCAGGUAAUGAAUUAAAUAAAUAAGAACAAGAACAAGAACAGCUUUGGGAGCAGAAUGCAAAAAAGGGCCCAGGAACCAGGGGCAUCUCUGAAAAACCGAACUUCGACAAAGGGGCAUGUCUGGAAACUGGAUUGCGGCAACGGUUGGGAAGCAGGGUUUCCCUUCCUGUCUGGGGCCUGGAAAUUUUGCCAGCUCUUCAGUUUUGCACUUCUCCUUAUGGCCAUGCAGCUGAUGUGUGCAGUUGACUGCUGCCUCUCUGGCACAUGUUGGCUGUAUGCUUAGAAAUGUGCAUUAGGAGAAGGGCUGCAGCUCAGUGGUUGAGAACAUGCUUUGCAUGCAAAAGGUUCUAGGUUCAAUCCAAGGUCUCCUGGUAGUUUCAUGGCCCUCAGACAUUCAUGGGCUGGCAGCCUGGGAGAGGGCAUUUUUUCUGGCAGCCCUUCAAUGUACAUCUGGCCCCUUCAUUAUUGAAGAUGCGCCUCUUUCCCUGGCUUUUGACACAUGGGAAAUAUAGGUAGAGAGAGAGAAAGACAGGAGGACAGACUCUGUUCUUUUGACUGUAAUUUUAACUGAUUUUAAUCAUCUAUUUUCAAAUUGCUGUAACCUACCCUGUGAUAUUACGGCGAAGAGCAGGUAAAAAAGUAACUUAAAAAUAAACAGUAAUGGUUUCUGCAUGUUAUAUGGGAGAGAAAAGGGAACUUGGUAAGUGUUGUGGGUAACGUUUGCUUCUCAUUUGCAGGUAGGGAGAGAAAGCAUGACAUGUUCCCCCACCAUAAGAACAACCUAACACCCCAUACACAUGUAACUGUAUUCUUGUAAAAUUUGGUUUGUCUGUUUUUGCUUCAGUUUUUUGUUCACCACUUGGAGAUACUUUUAAUAUAUUGAGUGGUAUAGAAAUUUUAUAAUCAAACUCGUUAGUCUGGAGAAGACUUGGGAAGGUGGGGGCAGCGAUAGUAUCCUUCAAAUACGAUGGGCUGUCACACAGAAUAGGGCAAAGAUUUGUCUCUUGCUACCCUAGAGGACAGGAUUUGAUUUAUUGGGCUUAAAUUACAGAAGGGAAGAUCGUAGUUCAACUUUAGGAAAAAGACCUUGAUUAUGGCUGCCUAAUCUCUGGCCCUCCAGAAGUUGUUGGACUCCAACUCACAUCUGCCCUAGCCAGCAGGGACUACGGUCAGGGAUGAUGACAACAUCCAAAGGACCACAGAUUUGUCAUCCCUGUUUGCCGAACAGAAGCUGGGCAUCUGUUGGGGAUGCUUGUUGGUUGUACUAUGAAAUGGUGCACUCAUGCCACUUCCAACACUAUGAUCUUCAGACUAAUUUCUUUAAAAAUUGGUUGCAUUCUCUCUCUCUUUUUAAAAAUUUCUGUAACUCCACAGUAAAUAGCAAGGUAUUGCAACUUAAGUUUCUUUCAUCACUGCCACAGCGGUAUUCAGUAUUGCUGUGAUGGGACAGCUUGGUCUUUUAUUAUAAUCAAGUGCUCUACCUAAGGUUUUGGCAAGCACUAUGUGCUAAUGAGCAGACUUCAAUAUCAUGUCUGUUUUAAUGCAUCUGUAACGUGACCAUCUGGACUGGAUAGUGCUGCAGCCUUUGUAAGCAUGUGGUAAACAGAGCAUGACAAAAUGCGCAAUUGUUAAGUUUUGACGACAUUUAAUUGGGCAUAUUUAAUGUUUGUUAAUAAUUUAUGUCUUUUCCGUGUUUAUAUGUUUGUGGAGAUUAUUCACUAUGCAAUUUAAACUCCUGGUAUAUAUCACCUUUUGAAACUUCUUGGAUAAAUGAUAGGUUAAAAAAAAAGUCAAUUUGCAAAUAAAAGUGUUUUGCUUUGUUUUAAAAAGGAUAAAUUUAAUAUCCCCAAAGACCUAAAUAAUUCAACAACCACUACUAGUACGUGAAAAAUGUGACACAAGAUACAGUGGAUGCUUUUUGAAAAUGAUGGGUGUCUUCAGCUGCUCCGGCUGUUCUGACACAGGAAGAGGAAGAAUGUUUUGAAGGGUGCUUUAUUACUUCACAAAUCAAAGUUUUUGUGUAGUUUACACUGGCAUCUGUGAACUGCUCUGAUUUUGUAUGAAGAGUUGUAUGUCAAUGGAAAAAGACAAUCAGCAGUUCACUGCUUCUACAGCUUGCUAGAUCCUGAAAUAAGUGUUUUUAUCUGGGUAUCCUGUAUCAGCAGCCUCCAGCCAGCUCCCCAAAGUAGCCGUAUUACAGUGCACUGUCUAAUAAUGAGACUUCCUGCCAGGUAACUGCGUGCAGAAUUGCAGCCUAAGGCACACACCUGGAAGAAAGCCCCAGUGAACAGACAUGCACAGUGCAGUGUCUCAAAGCACAGGCAACAGGGGAGUCUCAUGUUGUACCUUUAACAAAUGAACAGUAUCAUGUAGUUCUGCAGCCAAGAUCCUACCUCAUGAAUCACUGUGCACAAUGCUAGCCACAUGGAUUACUUUUCACAGCUGGCAGUCAAGUGACUCACAGUUGGGACACCGAUACAGAACAGCUCUAAAGCUUCAGUUCUAUUACACUAACCUUGAAUUCAAUGGGAAUUAUUUCUGAGCGAAGUGGCAUGCAUAGGCUAGUGCUGUGAGUUUGGGAGGGUCAAAAUAGCCCUAUUACGGUAGUAGGCGGGAAAUGGUAUGCAUUCAGCUGUGUCAUUGUUGAGGAGUGCGUUAACACCGUCCAUGCCUGUGGCUUCAUAGACAUAAUGCUGCUGCUUUUUUCUGUGACAGGAACAGAAGACGUUACUAUAUAUGGAGGCAGACCAUUGGUCCAGCUCUGAGGGCCUUCUGGCGGUUCUAGCACUGCAAGUAGUGAAAUUACAGCAAGUCAGGUACGGGGACUUCUUGGUGGUGGCUCCUGCCUUGUGGAACAUCCUCCUGGCAGAUGUUAAGGAAACGAACCACUAUCUGUCUUUUAGAAUACAUCUGAAGGCAGCCCUGCAUAAAGAAGUUUUUUAAUGUCGAUGUUUUCUUGUGCUUUUAUAUCUGUCAGAAGUCACCCAGAGUGGCUGGGGCAACCCAGUCAGAUGGGCGGGAUAUUAUUAUUAUUAUCAUUAUUCAAGCUCAGUAUUGGCAGCAGCUCUCCAAGGUGUCAAAUGGGAGUCUUUCCCACCCCUGGAAGUGCCAGGGAUUCAGCUGCUUGUAUGUAAAGCAUGUUAUGCUAUGCAUAUGCUAUGCUAAUGAGCUGUAGCCCUUCCCCAGAUUACAGUGGUUCAAGAUAAGACCACCUCAAGAAAUUCAUGUUUCAGAUGCAAUUUGCAUCAGAGUAUUAGUUGUUGAGGGAGUGACAAUGGGAGAGUGUGAUUGCCCUCAGGUCCCGCUUGUGGACUUCAUUCUGGGCCUUUAGCAAUGUGGCAGCCAUUUUGUUUUCUUCUUUCAUUGUACAGAUAGAUUUUUAACACACUUCCUUAUCUUUUCCACUGCCAGAUCUUUAUGUUAAUUGCUCUGCAAAGCAGUGUUCUUGGCCAAUUUCAGUGCCUGAGGAGGAGAGCUCACGUCUCAGACUGGCAUGACAACCAACAUUUUUUCCCAAGACUACAUGGAGUUGAAAUGUAAAUUCUUAUCUAAUAUUUAGGGUUACCAUGUGUCCUCUUUUUCAGAGGUAAAAUUUGAGACAGAUUGCAUCUAUUUGCUUUGAAUGGCCAUCAUAGCGUCCUCUUUUUUGCUCUUCAAAAUAUGGCAACCCUAAUCGGAGGCAUUCUCAAUGUGCUUAGAGACCUAAGGCUGCAAGUCCUAGAAGAACUAUUUCCUGCCUUGCAGGCCUUUUCCCACCUGGCCUGGGAGAGCUGGGCCCUGACUUGAGCUACAGAAACUGAGGCUACUGGGCUGCCGUAUUUGGUGGGGCGUGUUGGAUGUUGCUGCUGCUGCCAUUAUUGAAAUUAAUUUUUGUACCUUUAUUUUAUAAUUUAUUUUUAUGAGGAAAUUGUUUCAAUUUACUUGUGUACUUUUUGAUGUUUUGAUAGAAUCACAAAACUGUCCAGCUGGAAGGGACUGAUGAGAGUCCAAACCCCUGCAAUGAAGGGAUCUUUUAUUGCUUAUUGCUAUGCCUGCUUCUUGGGAGAAAAGCAAUGACAAACCUAGACAGCAUCUUAAAUAGCAGAGACACCACCUUGCCAACAAACGUCCGUAUAGUUAAAGCUAUGGUUUUCCCAGUAGCGAUGUAUGGAAGUGAGAGCUGGACCAUAAGAAGGCUGAUCCCCGAAGAAUUGAUGUUUUUGAAUUAUGGUGCUGGAGGAGACUCUGGAGAGUCCCAUGGGCUACAAGAAGAUCAAACCUCUCCAUUCUUAAGGAAAUCAGCCCUGAGUGCUCACUGGAAGGACAGAUCCUGAAGCUGAGGCUCCAAUACUUUGGCCACCUCAUAAGAAGAGAAGACUCCCUGGAAAAGACCCUGAUAUUGGGAAAGAUGGAGGGCACAAGGAAAAGGGGACGACAGAGGAUGAGAUGGUUGGACAGUGUUGUCAAAGCUAUGAACUUAAGAGUUUGACCAAGCUGCAGGAGGCAGUGGAAGACAGGAGUGCCUGGCGUGCUCUGGUCCAUGGGGUCACAAAGAGUCG